Molecule: ribosomal RNA, 465 nt
Filed under: uncultured bacterium
Lineage: Bacteria
Description: partial 16S ribosomal RNA
Rfam family: Bacterial small subunit ribosomal RNA
Source: RNAcentral
CCUACGUGGUGCUGCAGUGGGGGAUAUUGCACAAUGGGCGAAAGCCUGACGCAGCGACGCCGCGUGAGGGAUGAAGGUCUUCGGAUCGUAAACCUCUGUCAGCAGGGAAGAACGGUCACUGUGCUAAUCAGCAGUGAAUUGACGGUACCUGCAAAGGAAGCACCGGCUAACUCCGUGCCAGCAGCCGCGGUAAUACGGAGGGUGCGAGCGUUAAUCGGAAUUACUGGGCGUAAAGCGCUCGUAGGCGGUAUGUCAAGUCAAGGGUGAAAUCCCCGCGCUCAACGUGGGAACUGCCUUUGAAACUGGCAAACUGGAGUGUGUGAGAGGAUAGUGGAAUUCCAGGUGUAGGAGUGAAAUCCGUAGAUAUCUGGAGGAACAUCAGUGGCGAAGGCGACUAUCUGGCACAUAACUGACGCUGAGGAGCGAAAGCGUGGGUAGCAAACAGGAUUAGAUACCCCAGUAGUC